AUACAGAGAGUGCAAGCGUUAAUCGGAAUAACUGGGCGUAAAGCGCACGUAGGUGGACAUUUAAGUCGGAUGUGAAAGCCCUAGGCUUAACCUAGGAACUGCAUCCGAAACUGGGCGUCUUGAGUAUAGUAGAGGGAAGUGGAAUUUCCGGUGUAGCGGUGAAAUGCGUAGAUAUCGGAAAGAACACCAGUGGCGAAGGCGGCUUCCUAGACCAAUAUUGACGCUGAGGUGCGAAAGCGUGGGGAGCAAACAGGAUUAGAUACCCUAGUAGUCC
This 274-nucleotide ribosomal RNA is filed under the name uncultured bacterium. Its description in RNAcentral is "partial 16S ribosomal RNA". It matches the Rfam family "Bacterial small subunit ribosomal RNA", at positions 523 to 796 of the family's 1533-position model. The record is from RNAcentral.